RNAcentral lists this ribosomal RNA (253 nucleotides) under uncultured Bacteroidota bacterium. RNAcentral describes it as "uncultured Bacteroidetes bacterium partial 16S ribosomal RNA". It matches the Rfam family "Bacterial small subunit ribosomal RNA", at positions 524 to 776 of the family's 1533-position model. The record is from RNAcentral. Lineage: Bacteria; Pseudomonadati; Bacteroidota.
UACGGAGGAUCCGAGCGUUAUCCGGAUUUAUUGGGUUUAAAGGGUGCGUAGGCGGCUUUAUAAGUCAGUAGUGAAAGACUGUCGCUCAACGACGGAUGUGCUAUUGAUACUGGUUAACUUGAAUCAGGUUAGAGUUGGCGGAAUGGGUCAUGUAGCGGUGAAAUGCUUAGAUAUGACUUGGAACACCGAUAGCGAAAGCAGCUGACUGAGCCUUGAUUGACGCUGAGGUACGAAAGUGUGGGUAGCGAACAGG